Solanum verrucosum is the source of this 2099-nucleotide RNA transcript. It is a transcript of the gene named calcium-dependent protein kinase 7-like, with no coding region annotated. The transcript is spliced from 9 exons. The record is from RefSeq and is a predicted model, not a curated record. Lineage: Eukaryota; Viridiplantae; Streptophyta; Magnoliopsida; Solanales; Solanaceae.
UGAAAACCAUGAAAAUAUCCUUUGAAAUGACAGAGAAAAAAUAUAGAGAAAUGGGGAAAAUAAGAUGGGGGUUUCCAAGAGAGAAAAGUCUCUGUAGAAAAGAGCUUUGACUCUCUCUUCCAAUGGUGAAUUUAGUUUUCACACCUUCAUGAACAACUUUCUUCUCAUAUUCAAAUUCUUCUCUUAAUUCCACAACUACCCUCCAAUUCUUAUCUCCAACAACAACAACAAAAAAGGCAACAUUUUACUUUUCUGCAGUAUUUGAUAUUUUGAAAUUGUUAUGGGAAAUUGCUGUGGGACACCUGGUAAUUCUUCUGAAAAUAAGAAGAAGAACAAACCAAACCCUUUUGCUCUUGAUUAUGGUGCAACUCAAGCAUCUGGAGGUGAUGGAAACAAGCUUGUUGUGUUGAAAGAUCCAACAGGACACAAUAUUCAAGAAAAAUAUGAUCUUGGUUGUGAGCUAGGAAGAGGAGAAUUUGGGGUUACAUAUUUAUGUACUGAUGUUGAUACAGGGGACAAAUAUGCUUGCAAAUCGAUAUCGAAGAACAAACUUAGGACUGCUGUAGAUAUCGAUGAUGUUAGGAGAGAAGUUGAGAUCAUGAAGCAUUUGCCUAAACAUCCUAAUAUUGUGACCUUGAAGGACACUUAUGAGGAUGAUAAUGCAGUGCAUAUUGUGAUGGAACUUUGUGAGGGGGGUGAGUUGUUUGAUAGGAUUGUUGCUAGGGGACACUAUACGGAGAGAGCAGCUGCGGUUAUUAUGAAGACUAUAGUAGAAGUUGUUCAGAUGUGUCAUAUGCAUGGAGUAAUGCAUCGUGAUCUCAAACCUGAGAACUUUCUCUUUGGUAACAAGAAAGAAGCUGCUCCUCUGAAGGCUAUUGACUUUGGAUUAUCAGUGUUCUUUAAACCUGGGGAGCAGUUUAACGAGAUAGUGGGAAGUCCUUAUUACAUGGCUCCAGAGGUCCUAAAACGCAAUUAUGGCCCAGAGGUUGACGUCUGGAGUGCUGGAGUUAUCCUUUAUAUUCUUCUUUGUGGUGUUCCACCUUUCUGGGCAGAGACUGAACAAGGAGUAGCCCAAGCAAUUAUUCGCUCUGUGGUUGAUUUCAAGAGAGAUCCAUGGCCUAAGGUUUCUGAUAAUGCAAAGGAUCUUGUAAAGAAGAUGCUUGAUCCAGAUCCAACUCGACGGCUCACAGCUCAGCAGGUUCUUGAGCAUACCUGGUUACAAAUAUAAAGAAAGCACCAAAUGUCUCAUUGGGUGAGACUGUGAAAGCAAGGCUUAAACAAUUUUCAGUAAUGAACAAGCUCAAGAAAAGAGCUCUAAUGAUUAUGGCCGAGUUUUUAUCAGCGGAAGAAGUGGCUGGAAUGAAGGAAGCAUUUGAUAUGAUGGAUACAGGAAAGAAAGACAAGAUUAACCUUGGAGAACUUAAAAAUGGUCUGCAAAAGCUGGGCCAUCAGAUCCCUGAUGCUGAUCUUCAGAUUCUUAUGGAAGCUGCGGAUGUUGAUGGAGAUGGAAGCUUAAAUUACGGGGAGUUUGUCGCUGUAUCUGUUCAUCUUAGAAAGAUAGCAAAUGAUGAGCACCUGCACAAAGCAUUUUCAGUUUUCGACAGAAAUCAGAGUGGUUACAUAGAAAUUGAGGAGCUGCGCAGUGCCUUAAGUGGUGAGGAUGGUGGCAACAGUGAGGAAGUCAUCAAUGCCAUUAUGCAUGAUGUUGACACUGACAAGGAUGGUCGCAUUAGUUACGAGGAAUUUGCUGUGAUGAUGAAGGCUGGUACGGAUUGGAGAAAAGCAUCGAGACAGUAUUCUCGUGAACGAUUCAACAGUCUCAGCUUAAAAUUGAUGAGAGAUGGCUCGAUACAAGUCGGAAAGGAGGAAGGUAGAUGAUCAAAUGCAGAAGAAAAAGAAAUGUCAAAAAAGGAAAAAAGAAACUCUUCUCUUUGCUGUGCACUUCAAUUUUUUUGGCUUCCUCCCCUUUGAGCUCUAUAGGAUUGAGGUGUGAGGUCUGCAACCUGUUACAUCCUAGGCAUCUAACAAAGAAUUUCUGAGGUCUUUUACCUUGUUGUAAAAUGUAAUUACAUGUAUUGGUUAUAAGCUCAUUCUUAUUA